UACACACCGCCCGUCACGCUAUGGAAGCCGGUAACACCUGAAGUCGCUGAGCUAACCCGCAAGGGGGGGCAGGCGCCGAGGGUGGGAUCGGUAACUGGANCG
Molecule: ribosomal RNA, 102 nt
Filed under: uncultured bacterium
Lineage: Bacteria
Description: partial 16S ribosomal RNA
Rfam family: Bacterial small subunit ribosomal RNA
Source: RNAcentral